CAAACUGGAAACAAACAUAUUAUAUACACUCAAUGUGUUAAAGAUCUUGCAUAUCCCAGUACUCUUCAAAUGAAUGAAAAAACACAUACUGGUGAGAAACCCUACGAAUAUAAUCAAUGUGGUAAAGCCUUUGAAUUUCAAAGCCAUCUUCAAGAACAUAAAACAAAGCAUACUGGAGAGAAACCCUGCAAAGGUGAAGACUUUCACUGGAGUAGAUGAGAAUCUGACUAUAGGAUUGGAUUAGAGAAGCAGCAAACCCUUUUGUUGAUAAACUCCCUUAAAAGAUCAGAGCAGAAGUAACAACUUUUCUCCAGAGACUGCUACAUUUCUGCAGCAUUUCACCGCUUUCUUGAGUGAAGCAUACAAGUAAGAAUUUGAGCUCUCGCUGAGAAGAAAUGGACAUCUUUGUUAGAAACUCUAAUAGAGCAGAAGAGAAAAUGAAUUGACAGCUCUGCUGAGAAACCCCCUCAGGGAAGUGAGGGACAGCAGCAAUGGACGUCUCUCUUAGGAAACUCUCUUAGCAGUGUGGAGCAGAGUCCAACUGUAAGGGCUCUCUUUUGGAGAGGAGCAGGAUUAAUACCUUUGGCAGGAAGACUGUUUCUCACUGAAGCACAGCAUCAGGUGUAGCCUGACUUCUCAAUAUUCAGGUUACCUUUUCCCUCACAGCAGUAGGCAUCCAGGAUAUCUUCCCUUCAUAGCUCUAGGUAAAAGCUGACUUCUGACAGUUGGGUAUCUUUUCCUCCAGAAUUAUAAAAGUUUGCACUAUUUUCAUUUAUUUAUUUAUUUUUUAUUUGUCGUGACAAGUUUUCUCUGUAAUUUUGGAAGUUGCACUACUGAUUUAAAUAGUAAUGUAACCAUACUAGAUUUUGUACUUCUCUUAAAUUGCAUGAAAUAUCUAAUUCAGGAAUAAAAAAUUAUGUAUUUGUAUUAUUUCCA
Molecule: long non-coding RNA, 936 nt
Organism: Peromyscus eremicus (cactus mouse)
Lineage: Eukaryota; Metazoa; Chordata; Mammalia; Rodentia; Cricetidae
Exons: 2
Source: RefSeq, a predicted model, not a curated record